This 131-nucleotide non-coding RNA is filed under the name bovine gut metagenome. RNAcentral describes it as "FMN riboswitch (RFN element)". It matches the Rfam family "FMN riboswitch aptamer (RFN element)". From Rfam's summary of the family: The RFN element is a highly conserved domain that is found frequently in the 5'-untranslated regions of prokaryotic mRNAs that encode for flavin mononucleotide (FMN) biosynthesis and transport proteins. This element is a metabolite-dependent riboswitch that directly binds FMN in the absence of proteins. In Bacillus subtilis, the riboswitch most likely controls gene expression by causing premature transcription termination within the 5' untranslated region of the ribDEAHT operon and precluding access to the ribosome-binding site of ypaA mRNA. The record is from RNAcentral.
CGUUUUCAGGGCGGGGUGGAAAUCCCCACUGGCGGUAACGGGCGUUGCGACGCCCGAAGUCCGCGACCCGCGGAUACGCGGCUGACCCGGUGCGAGUCCGGGACCAACGGUCAGAGUCCGGAUGGAAGAAA